Molecule: ribosomal RNA, 1309 nt
Filed under: metagenome
Description: bacterial SSU rRNA
Rfam family: Bacterial small subunit ribosomal RNA
Source: RNAcentral
AUAUUUAAAGUUCAGACGGUAAAAGAUGAGUAUGCGCGAUAUUAGCUAGUUGGUGAGGUAACGGCUCACCAAGGCGACGAUAUCUAGGGGUACUGAGAGGUUACACCCCCACACUGGUACUGAGACACGGACCAGACUCCUACGGGAGGCAGCAGUAAGGAAUACUGGACAAUGGUCGCAAGACUGAUCCAGCCAUGCCGCGUGCAGGAUGACUGCCCUAUGGGUUGUAAACUGCUUUUAUACGGGAAUAAACCCGGGUACGUGUACCCGGCUGAAUGUACUGUAAGAAUAAGGGUCGGCUAACUUCGUGCCAGCAGCCGCGGUAAGACGAAGGACCCAAGCGUUAUCCGGAUUCAUUGGGUUUAAAGGGUGCGUAGGCGGGUUGAUAAGUCAGUGGUGAAAGCCCAACGCUUAACGUUGGAACUGCCAUUGAUACUGUCGAUCUUGAAUGUGUUUGAUGUGGGCGGAAUAUGACAUGUAGCGGUGAAAUGCUUAGAUAUGUCAUAGAACACCGAUUGCGAAGGCAGCUCACAAAGCCACUAUUGACGCUGAGGCACGAAAGCGUGGGGAUCAAACAGGAUUAGAUACCCUGGUAGUCCACGCCGUAAACUUUGAUCACUCGCUGUUGGCGAUACACUGUCAGCGGCUAAGCGAAAGCGUUAAGUGAUCCACCUGGGGAGUACGGUCGCAAGACUGAAACUCAAAGGAAUUGACGGGGGCCCGCACAAGCGGUGGAGCAUGUGGUUUAAUUCGAUGAUACGCGAGGAACCUUACCAGGGCUUGAAAGUUAGCGACUUACCGUGAAAGCGGUGAUCCCUUCGGGGCGCGAAACUAGGUGCUGCAUGGCUGUCGUCAGCUCGUGCCGUGAGGUGUUGGGUUAAGUCCCGCAACGAGCGCAACCCCUACUUCUAGUUGCCAACAGGUAAUGCUGGGGACUCUAGAGGAACUGCCCGCGCAAGCGGUGAGGAAGGUGGGGACGACGUCAAGUCAUCACGGCCCUUACGUCCUGGGCUACACACGUGCUACAAUGGCGGAGACAACGGGCAGCUACACUGCGAAGUGAUGCUAAUCUCUAAACUCCGUCUCAGUUCGGAUUGAAGUCUGCAACUCGACUUCAUGAAGCUGGAAUCGCUAGUAAUCGCGUAUCAGCAAUGACGCGGUGAAUACGUUCCCGGGCCUUGUACACACCGCCCGUCAAACAAUGGAAGCUGGGAGUACCUAAAGUCAGUAGUCGCAAGACGCUGCCUAGGGUAAAACCGGUAACUGGUGUUAAGUCGGAACAAGGUAGCCGUACCGGAAGGUGCGGCUG